This is a long non-coding RNA of Lacerta agilis (Sand lizard), 140 nucleotides long. RefSeq lists it as uncharacterized. The record is from RefSeq and is a predicted model, not a curated record. The transcript has 3 exons. Lineage: Eukaryota; Metazoa; Chordata; Lepidosauria; Squamata; Lacertidae.
CUCACCUGCCACCAUGAGGGUGAAAUCAAAGCCCUUCUUCACAGAUUUCCGGUGCACCUGGUUGGGGAGCGUGGCGAACCCCACAUACUGCUUUUCGUGGUCAAGGUGAUCCGAGGGUUGUAGGUUGCCUCCAUUCCUCU